This 253-nucleotide ribosomal RNA is filed under the name uncultured bacterium. RNAcentral describes it as "partial 16S ribosomal RNA". It matches the Rfam family "Bacterial small subunit ribosomal RNA", at positions 524 to 776 of the family's 1533-position model. The record is from RNAcentral.
UACGUAGGGCGCAAGCGUUGUCCGGAAUUAUUGGGCGUAAAGAGCUCGUAGGCGGUCUGUCGCGUCGGCUGUGAAAACCCGGGGCUCAACCCCGGGCCUGCAGUCGAUACGGGCAGACUGGAGUACUGCAGGGGAGACUGGAAUUCCUGGUGUAGCGGUGGAAUGCGCAGAUAUCAGGAGGAACACCGGUGGCGAAGGCGGGUCUCUGGGCAGUAACUGACGCUGAGGAGCGAAAGCGUGGGGAGCGAACAGG